UUGGAGGGCAAGUCUGGUGCCAGCAGCCGCGGUAAUUCCAGCUCCAAUAGCGUAUAUUAAAGUUGUUGCAGUUAAAAAGCUCGUAGUUGAAUUUCGGGAUCAAAUAAUCGGUCGUGCCUCCGGUACGUACUGGUUUUAUUGGUUCCUCCCUUCUGACGAACCAUGAUGUCAUUAAUUUGAUGUGGUGGAGAAUCAGGACUGUUACCUUGAAAAAAUUAGAGUGUUUAAAGCAGGCUAACGCUUGAAUACAUUAGCAUGGAAUAAUGAAAUAGGACGUUCGACCCUAUUUUGUUGGUUUCUAGGACCGACGUAAUGAUUAAUAGGGAUAGUUGGGGGCAUUAGUAUUCAAUUGUCAGAGGUGAAAUUCUUGGAUUUAUUGAAGACUAACUACUGCGAAAGCAUUUGCCAAGGAUGUUUUCAUUAAUCAAGAACGAAAGUUAGGGGAUCGAAGACGAUCAGAUACCGUCGUAGUCUUAACCAUAAACUAUGCCGACUAGGGAUCGGAUGAUGUUAAUUUUUUAAUGACUCAUUCGGCGCCUUACGGGAAAC
This 549-nucleotide ribosomal RNA is filed under the name uncultured Glomeraceae. RNAcentral describes it as "SSU rRNA". It matches the Rfam family "Eukaryotic small subunit ribosomal RNA", at positions 548 to 1098 of the family's 1831-position model. Lineage: Eukaryota; Fungi; Glomeromycota; Glomeromycetes; Glomerales; Glomeraceae. The record is from RNAcentral.